RNAcentral lists this long non-coding RNA (1335 nucleotides) under Homo sapiens (human). Its description in RNAcentral is "non-protein coding lnc-TSHZ2-15:1". The record is from RNAcentral. Lineage: Eukaryota; Metazoa; Chordata; Mammalia; Primates; Hominidae.
CCAGCAGGGGCACACUGACACCUCACACGGCAGGGUAUUCCAACAGACCUGCAGCUGAGGGUCCUGUCUGUUAGAAGGAAAACUAACAAACAGAAUGGACAUCCACACCAAAAACCCAUCUGUACAUCACCAUCAUCAAAGACCAAAAGUAGAUAAAACCACAAAGAUGGGGAAAAAACAGAACAGAAAAACUGGAAACUCUAAAACGCAGAGCGCCUCUCCUCCUCCAAAGGAACGCAGUUCCUCACCAGCAACGGAACAAAGCUGGAUGGAGAAUGACUUUGAUCAGCUGAGAGAAGAAGGCUUCAGACGAUCAAAUUACUCUGAGCUACGGGAGGACAUUCAAACCAAAGGCAAAGAAGUUGAAAACUUUGAAAAAAAUUUAGAAGAAUGUAUAACUAGAAUAACCAAUACAGAGAAGUGCUUAAAGGAGCUGAUGGAGCUGAAAACCAAGGCUCGAGAACUACAUGAAGAAUGCAGAAGCCUCAGGAGCCGAUGCAAUCAACUGGAAGAAAGGGUAUCAGCGAUGGAAGAUGAAAUAAAUGAAAUGAAGCGAGAAGGGAAGUUUAGAGAAAAAAGAAUAAAAAGAAAUGAGCAAAGCCUCCAAGAAAUAUGGGACUAUGUGAAAAGACCAAAUCUACGUCUGAUUGGUAUACCUGAAAGUGAUGGGGAGAAUGGAACCAAGUUGGAAAACACUCUGCAGGAUAUUAUCCAGGAGAACUUCCCCAAUCUAGCAAGGCAGGCCAACGUUCAGAUUCAGGAAAUACAGAGAAUGCCACAAAGAUACUCCUCGAGAAGAGCAACUCCAAGACACAUAAUUGUCAGAUUCACCAGAGUUGAAAUGAAGGAAAAAAUGUUAAGGGCAGCCAGAGAGAAAGGUUGGGUUACCCUCAAAGGGAAACCCAUCAGACUAACAGCGGAUCUCUCAGCAGAAACCCUACAAGCCAGAAGAGAGUGGGGGCCAAUAUUCAACAUUCUUAAAGAAAAGAAUUUUCAACCCAGAAUUUCAUAUCCAGCCAAACUAAGCUUCAUAAGUGAAGGAGAAAUAAAAUACUUUACAGACAAGCAAAUGCUGAGAGAUUUUGUCACCACCAGGCCUGCCCUAAAAGAGCUCCUGAAGGAAGCGCUAAACAUGGAAAGGAACAACCGGUACCAGCCGCUGCAAAAUCAUGCCAAAAUAUACAGACCAUCGAGACUAGGAAGAAACUGCAUCAACUAACGAGCAAAAUCACCAGCUAACAUCAUAAUUACAGGAUCAAAUUCACACACAACAAUAUUAACCUUAAAUGUAAAUGGACUAAAUGCUCCAAUUAAAAGACACAGACUGGCAAAUUG